Molecule: small nuclear RNA, 196 nt
Filed under: Triticum aestivum (bread wheat)
Lineage: Eukaryota; Viridiplantae; Streptophyta; Magnoliopsida; Poales; Poaceae
Description: snRNA U2
Rfam family: U2 spliceosomal RNA
About the family: U2 is a small nuclear RNA (snRNA) component of the spliceosome (involved in pre-mRNA splicing). Complementary binding between U2 snRNA (in an area lying towards the 5' end but 3' to hairpin I) and the branchpoint sequence (BPS) of the intron results the bulging out of an unpaired adenosine, on the BPS, which initiates a nucleophilic attack at the intronic 5' splice site, thus starting the first of two transesterification reactions that mediate splicing.
Source: Rfam by way of RNAcentral
AUACCUUUCUCGGCCUUUUGGCUAAGAUCAAGUGUAGUAUCUGUUCUUAUCAGUUUAAUAUCUGAUAUGUGGGCCAUGUGCUUACAAUGAUAUUAAAUUUAUUUUUUAUGGGGGUGGUCCACAAUAGUAGCUUGCUACUGGGGUUCACAUGUGUCGUCUGGGCGUUGCACUACUGCCCUGGCCUGGCACACCCCAA